Non-coding RNA from Lupinus albus (white lupine), 1415 nucleotides. The record is from the annotation of a GenBank genome assembly. Lineage: Eukaryota; Viridiplantae; Streptophyta; Magnoliopsida; Fabales; Fabaceae.
AUAUGCUUUCACAUAAAUAUCAACAUAGCUUCUCUCCAUGAACAACUUUUUAUAGGUAGAUCUGAACAGUGUGGUUUUGUUUUUUAGAUCGGCUACACAUGUGGGUAGUAGUUAUGCAGAUUGGUGUAAUGAUGAACCAUGUUGACCAAUUUUCACUAGCGCAAAAGGUUCUGUGCUAAUUGACAAGGAUCCGUACUUUUCUCUGGUUACCUUGACCAUCUACAUUUCCAUACCAUUUAUUAAUUAUAGUAUAUAGAUCUGAAUGUAUAUGACAUAAGAAUAGUAUCAAUUUUGAGAAGUAUGUGUAUUCAUGUUGGAUUUGCAGAAUUAUGUAUUUAUUUUUUCCGUAAAUACAUUUUAUCUUGCCUUUAACAGCUCAUUUGAUUACUGAAACCCUAAUGUCUGACACUGCCACACAUUAAUCAAUAUUUCAUAUGCUUCAAUUUCUUGUAUUUAAGUUUCAAUAUCUAUUGAGCUAUUGGAAUUAUCUUGAAUAUAGGUAGGUAAUAAUUGUUCAAUGCUUUGUUAGAAGGGAAAACUUUUUUUAGGUGAUUGAUUAAGCACCUGAGCAAUGCUUGCAAGUUGCAAGUAUCAUUGAAGUGCUACCAAGUGGUUUUUCUCACUUGCAUUGUCAGAUAUGUUUAUAAUCCCCUUGGUCCUUUUAACAAACUUCUAUUUUGCUUUUUAAAAAAAUUAUGAUACCUGUUGUAAGAUAAUACUAGAGUAAAACAUCUAAUUGAAGUUCUUAGUUGUAAUUGGUUGAAAAAUUAUUUGAGUUAAAAGUUUAAUUAUAAAAUAUUUUUCUAAUUAGCCACGAUUCAUUACAAAUGAAGUGACACAUGAGACACACUAUAUACUCCCAUUGAAAACACAGAUUUAUUGAAUUAAAUCCCUUACAUUAGUAAAAGCAAGUCAAAUAUAAUAAAAUGGGGAGCACAAGUAAAAAAUCUGAAAAACUAAAUGUCACCACUUUAAUUUGAAAGUACUUGGCUUCCUUGGUUUAUCUGACAUGUGAAGAAAGAGAUUAAAGGAUUUUCAACGGUCAGCCUCGAGAAGAUUCGUUUGCUAUGACUGCAGUUGAAACAGUUAGAUUAAGCUCCUUUGAAUGAAUUUUCCAACUGAUUUCUAAUUUUGUGCUAUUAUAUGUAUUAAUAUUUAAUAGAAUAGCUUGGAAAAACUAGUUUCUUUUUUAUGGUUUCGUUUUUCUUUUCUCAGCUUUUAAACCUGUUGGUAAUCAUAUAUUCUUUCUUUUAACAGUGCAAUUGGUUUAUAAAAGAAAGGGUUCAAAUUGAUCGAAAUGUCCAAAUGGAUCAAAUUGAGAACUUAACAUUGUGAGAGAUUAAAUGGAUUGCGAGUUAUCGAGGUUAAGGACUAAAAUUAAUUGCCAAUUAUCGAAGUUAAGGACUAUAUUAAUU